GAGCAGGGCCUUGCGCAAUGGAAACUUUCGAACCGUGUCAGGUCUUGACGGAAGCAGCACUAAGGAAGAAUUUUCAUGUGCCGUAAGUUCCCCCUGCUGGAGC
Molecule: signal recognition particle RNA, 103 nt
Filed under: Clostridiales bacterium KA00134
Lineage: Bacteria; Bacillati; Bacillota; Clostridia; Eubacteriales
Description: Bacterial signal recognition particle RNA
Rfam family: Bacterial small signal recognition particle RNA
About the family: The signal recognition particle (SRP) is a universally conserved ribonucleoprotein involved in the co-translational targeting of proteins to membranes.
Source: RNAcentral